GUUCAGGAGAAUGAAGAUGAAGUGGAGAAUUACAAACAAGGCAUCAGAAGAAGAUCUCGAAAACAGGCACAAAGCCUUCAUACUGGAAGCGAAGAAUGGAAGAGAACAGUGGCGAUUGCCGACAGGAGUUCUCUCUGGAACGAUGCCAUUGUACCGUACGAAAUCUCUCCAAAGAUCAGUGAAAGUCUAAGAAGAACAAUACGCACGGCUAUAAGAAAAUGGGAAUCGGACACGUGUUUGAGAUUUGUUCCUGCCGAUGAAACGAUCCACGAAUACAGCGUGUAUUUUGAAAAUGAAGGAGUUUGUGG
Long non-coding RNA from Centruroides sculpturatus (bark scorpion), 308 nucleotides. RefSeq lists it as uncharacterized. NCBI's taxonomy places the organism in Eukaryota, Metazoa, Arthropoda, Arachnida, Scorpiones, Buthidae. The transcript has 3 exons. The record is from RefSeq and is a predicted model, not a curated record.